RNAcentral lists this ribosomal RNA (253 nucleotides) under uncultured prokaryote. RNAcentral describes it as "partial 16S ribosomal RNA". It matches the Rfam family "Bacterial small subunit ribosomal RNA", at positions 524 to 776 of the family's 1533-position model. The record is from RNAcentral.
UACGUAGGAUGCAAGCGUUGUCCGGAUUUACUGGGCGUAAAGCGCGCGCAGGCGGCGCAUUAAGUAAGGUGUGAAAUAUCCCGGCUCAACCGGGAGGGUGCACUUUAGACUGAUGUGCUUGAGGUCGGUAGAGGGGGGUGGAAUUGCUGGUGUAGCGGUGAAAUGCGUAGAUAUGUGGAGGAACACCGAUGGCGAAGGCAGCCCCCUGGGUCAAAACUGACGCUCAUGCACGAAAGCGUGGGGAGCAAACAGG